CUCAGUCUGGAUCCCUUUAACCCAACAACUCCUGCUGCUACUCGUCUUGCCGCCGCCCCCUGCAGCUGCUGCUGCUGCUCCUGUUCCGGGAGAAACUGCAGAUGCUAAAGGCUGUCAGGAAUGAAGAGCCCCAGAAUUCACCAAGCAUGAAGAGCCCAAGAAUCCUCCAAGCAAUGAAUGAACCAAGAAUCACAAGAAUGAAGACCCUGAAUGUCUCUCAGGCUCCCACUUAUAUAUACUGCCCAGGGUGGGGCAGUACUUGUGGUCUGUUAGGGCGUGAACUUUCUUUGUUAGUGACUUACUAAAUGUUAAGUAGGGGUACUUUAAGUUCUUGAUUGAUUAACUUAAAAUAGACAAAGGGAAUAAAAAUUACCUUUUGCAUCUCA
This is a non-coding RNA of Monodelphis domestica (gray short-tailed opossum), 386 nucleotides long. The record is from RefSeq and is a predicted model, not a curated record. NCBI's taxonomy places the organism in Eukaryota, Metazoa, Chordata, Mammalia, Didelphimorphia, Didelphidae.